AUGGCGGACACAACUAUUGCUGGCUACACCAUACCCAAGGAUAGCCACAUACUUUUAAGCCGGCUUGGACUUGGCCGCAAUCCCAAGAUCUGGACUGAACCACUGGAGUUUCAGCCUGAGAGGCAUUUGAACACUGCGAAUGUACUUCUCACUGAUCCAGGCCUACGUUUCAUUUCAUUUAGCAGUGGGAGGAGGGGUUGUCCUGGGAUUUCACUUGGUACCUCUAUGACAAUGAUGUUGUUCGCAAGGAUGUUGCACGGAUUUACUUGGACAAAGCUUCCCGGCGUUAAGAGUAUCAGUCUCCAAGAACGCAAUGCGGGUCUUGCACUAGCUGAGCCCCUUGUUCUGCAAGCUACACCCCGAUUGGCUGCACAUCUCUACAUAUGA
Molecule: ribosomal RNA, 387 nt
Filed under: Triticum aestivum (bread wheat)
Lineage: Eukaryota; Viridiplantae; Streptophyta; Magnoliopsida; Poales; Poaceae
Description: partial small subunit ribosomal RNA
Source: RNAcentral